Molecule: RNA transcript, 2084 nt
Organism: Oncorhynchus kisutch (coho salmon)
Lineage: Eukaryota; Metazoa; Chordata; Actinopteri; Salmoniformes; Salmonidae
Gene name: insulinoma-associated protein 1a pseudogene
Exons: 1
Source: RefSeq, a predicted model, not a curated record
UGCGGUACGUGUGUGUUGAAUAGUCUCAGAGGACAUGGGAGGAUAAAGGCUGGAUAAGUGUGGUGUGGCUCUGUGUAAUCUGCAUAAUGGCAAGGGACCGUCAAGGACGGGACAAGUGGUCUGGGGGGGACUCCGCAAUGGGGGAGGCUGACAUCUGUCGCUGUGCUCCUCAGAGACUCCCGGUGGAUCAUGUUGCCGGGCCUUUCUAUUGACGGCUGGACUGCUGCCAUCUGCGUCCUAACUGACGCACAAUGACCGCUCGGGGCCUUUAUAAAGACGGAGACAAACGACAGAGGGCCAGUGUGGACAAGUACUGCAGAGCGAAUAGGGCGCACUGUGAUUAGACACGCCUCAUUCCAAUUUCUGGGCUCGACUUUAACAGCAAAAUCUUAUUGAGGUUGUUUAUAACGCGUCGAGUGUGCUUCCUGACAGUCACCAUGCCAAAGGGUUUCCUUAUAAAACGUUCUAAAAAGGCUGGUCCUGUUUCAUACAGGAUACGCGAGGAGGACUUGGCGCUGGACGCCAACUGCUCUUCGCUGGUCGAGAAUGCCCCGGCUCAUGCACUGCCUUGCCACAACUUUAUCAGAGUUCCCAGCCGGGGUAUUUUCGGUGGAAUGCCAGAGUGUCACUGUGCGCCUUCACUGAGCCCGACCCGGCCUGACAGCGAGGGAUAUCAAUACACACCCGUGGACGCCGCUCAUCAAAUGCUAAGCUCUCUUUCUUCUGCUCCAGCAGAUACCUUCCCCGAGGCAAAUUUGGGAAGUUUCACCAUUGAUGGUUCCCCAGUGUCGUCGUCUCUUCAGGAGAUGACCACCAGACUGGACACCAUGUGCGGGAAUGCUAAAUAUGCAGCAGUGAAGCGGCCUGCCUCCUCCAACGCUAAAUCUCCCCAUACGAAUUCUAAAAAGCGCAGGUCCUCAAGCUCCCAAAACCAAGAGAAGAAGUCCAGCCUCCGGGAUCAGGUAACCACAUCUCCCGUCCUCGGAUUGCGCAUUACAGAGGAGGCAGAGGAUGAGGUGAAGCAACGCUCCAACACCAGCAUUCCGCUUGGAGAAUUCAUCUGUCAGCUUUGCAAGGAGCGGUACGCAGACCCUCUCACUUUGGCCUUCCACAAGUGCUCUCGCAUCGUCCGAAUCGAAUAUCGCUGCGACGAGUGUGACAAAGUGUUUAGUUGUCCCGCUAACCUGGCCUCCCACCGACGUUGGCACAAGCCAAAGGGUUUCCAAGUGGAGAGAGUCUCAUCACAGAGAGAGGAGAACCGACCUGACACACCAACAGCCAGAGAGGCGCUCCCACCCUCCCCGCCACCCUCAGACUCGGGCUCUGAUGAAGAAAUUAUGUUCAGCUGCCCACAGUGCUCAAAGAAAUUCAGAAAACAAGCGUACCUGAGGAAACACUUGGCCUUGCACAAUAGGAAGGCAGCUAGUCAUCCUCAGAAUCAGUCUCAUUCGGCCAAAGUCUCCGACCAACAACCCAGCAGCCUGCUCGAGUCCCGCCCAGAAACACCCGAGCCCUCCUCCAAAUACGCAGGGACUGAGUGCAUCACAAAGGUGACAGGAGAGGUGUUUCCGUGUCGAUUUUGUAGUGAAAAUGUAUUCUCCUCCUCUGGCCUCACCAGACACAUAAACAAAUAUCACCCAACGGAGAGCAGACAGGUCAUCGUUUUGUCUCAAACGAUUUAAUAACAUCAGACUGUUUGUUUCGGGCAUUAUGACUGAAUUCCAUGUUUGGACAGAGUUCUUGUAAACAAUUGUUGUGAAAUCAGAAAUAUUUCUCCUGAAUAGUUGGCUAUAGUUUUGUGUAAAUUAGUUUUGUUUUCUACAAAGUUAUAUUUAUCUAUCUAUCUAAUCAAUUAUUUAUUUGAUAUUUAUUUAUUUGUUUAUUUAAUAAUGUAUGUGUUUGUUUAUUUAUCUGCCCACAUUUGUAUUAAUCAUGUUGCUUUUGACUGUGAUGAUUUGCGUAAUGAUAAAAAAGCUAUUUCGCAUUGCCUCUAAUUACCUCUGACCAAAUUAAUGUCAUCUUUUUCGUUGAAACAAUAUUACCAUGCCAACUUCUUCCUAAAAUAAUAAAGGGAGUAUAAAUCU